GUACACGCUGUGACUAGCAUAUCAAUAAGCGGAGGAAAAGAAACUAACAAGGAUUCCCCUAGUAACGGCGAGUGAAGCGGGAAGAGCUCAAAUUUGAAAUCUUAAAGGGUUUCCCUUUACGAAUUGUAGUUUAAAGAAGUGUUUUCUGUUGAGGUUUUGGUAAAAGUUCUUUGGAAUAGGACAUCAUAGAGGGUGAGAAUCCCGUAUUUGACCUUUACUUUCAACCUUGUGAUACACUUUCAAAGAGUCGGAUUGUUUGGGAAUGCAGUCCAAAAUGGGUGGUAAAUUUCAUCUAAAGCUAAAUAUUGGCGAGAGACCGAUAGCGAACAAGUACCGUGAGGGAAAGAUGAAAAGAACUUUGAAAAGAGAGUUAAACAGUACGUGAAAUUGUCAAAAGGGAAGCGUUUGACACCAGUGUUGUUUUUCUGAAAAUCAAUUAAAGAACUGUUUAUGCUAAGCUGUUUAGACUUUAUCAGCUAUCUGUUUAGUUUUGAGCUUUUCUUUAAUGCACUUUUCAGUUAACAAGUCAACAUCGAUUUCUUUUGCUGUAAAAAAGCUUGAGGAAGGUGGCUUGAGAUUCGUCUUAAGUGUUUAUAGCCUCUUGCCUAUGCAGUCGGAGAGAUUGAGGUCUGCAGCGUAGAUCCUUCGGGGCUAAAUGCAUUUGUGCUAAGUUAUAGCAUUUUAUAGACAACUUGUUGACUAUGAUUUGUCUUGUAGCUUACUCGCUUAUGUUAUUUUACCUACGCUUAGGAUGUUGACGAGACUGUCGAUCUC
Molecule: ribosomal RNA, 774 nt
Filed under: uncultured Neocallimastigales
Lineage: Eukaryota; Fungi; Neocallimastigomycota; Neocallimastigomycetes; Neocallimastigales
Description: partial large subunit ribosomal RNA
Rfam family: Eukaryotic large subunit ribosomal RNA
Source: RNAcentral